GACGAACGCUGGCGGCGUGCCUAACACAUGCAAGUCGAACGGGACUUAGUGGAAUGCGGCUUCGGCCAAAGGAAACUAAGUUUAGUGGCGAACGGGUGAGUAACGCGUGAGGAACCUGCCCUUCAGAGGGGGACAACAGUUGGAAACGACUGCUAAUACCGCAUAACGCAUAGGGGUCGCAUGAUUCUUAUGCCAAAGAUUUAUCGCUGAAAGAUGGCCUCGCGUCUGAUUAGCUAGUUGGUGAGGUAACGGCCCACCAAGGCGACGAUCAGUAGCCGGACUGAGAGGUUGAACGGCCACAUUGGGACUGAGAUACGGCCCAGACUCCUACGGGAGGCAGCAGUGGGGAAUAUUGGGCAAUGGGCGCAAGCCUGACCCAGCAACGCCGCGUGAAGGAAGAAGGCUUCGGGUUGUAAACUCUUUGUCAGGAAGAGUAGAAGACGGUACCUGGCGAAUAAGCCACGGCUAACUACGUG
Molecule: ribosomal RNA, 476 nt
Filed under: uncultured bacterium
Lineage: Bacteria
Description: bacterial SSU rRNA
Rfam family: Bacterial small subunit ribosomal RNA
Source: RNAcentral